AGAGUUUGAUCAUGGCUCAGGGUGAACGCUGGCGGCGCGCCUAAUGCAUGCAAGUCGAGCGUGCCCUGGUGGCUUCGGCCAUCAGGGAAAGCGGCAGACGGCUGAGUAACGCGUGAGUAACCUACCCUCUGGUGGGGUAUAGCCGCGAGAAAUCGCGGUUAAUCCCGCAUAAGAUCUCCAGGCCUUGGUUUGGAGAUGAAAGCCUUCGGGCGCCGGAGGAGGGGCUCGCGUCCUAUCAGGUAGUUGGUGAGGUAACGGCCCACCAAGCCGAUGACGGGUAGCUGGUCUUAGAGGACGACCAGCCAGAGGGGGACUGAGACACGGCCCCCACUCCUACGGGAGGCAGCAGCAGGGAAUCUUGGGCAAUGGGCGAAAGCCUGACCCAGCGACGUCGCGUGGAGGAAGAAGGCCUUCGGGCUGUAAACUCCUUUUCCAAGGGAAGAGUAAGGACGGUACCUUGGGAAUAAGCUCCGGCUAACUACGUGCCAGCAGCCGCGGUAAUACGGAGGGGGCUAGUGUUGUUCGGAAUUACUGGGCGUAAAGGGCGCGCAGGCGGCUUGGCAAGUCGAGUGUGAAAUCCCUUGGCUUAACUGAGGAAUGGCGCUCGAAACUACCUCGCUGGAGGGCGGGAGAGGGAAGUGGAACUCUCGGUGUAGGGGUGAAAUCUGUAGAUAUCGAGAGGAACACCGGUGGCGAAGGCGGCUUCCUGGCCCGUACCUGACGCUGAGGCGCGAAAGCGUGGGGAGCAAACAGGAUUAGAUACCCCAGUAGUCC
This 774-nucleotide ribosomal RNA is filed under the name uncultured Chloroflexota bacterium. Its description in RNAcentral is "bacterial SSU rRNA". It matches the Rfam family "Bacterial small subunit ribosomal RNA", at positions 8 to 796 of the family's 1533-position model. The record is from RNAcentral. Lineage: Bacteria; Bacillati; Chloroflexota.